Molecule: ribosomal RNA, 468 nt
Filed under: uncultured bacterium
Lineage: Bacteria
Description: partial 16S ribosomal RNA
Rfam family: Bacterial small subunit ribosomal RNA
Source: RNAcentral
GAUGAACGCUGGCGGCGUGCUUAACACAUGCAAGUCGAACGGUGAAGGCGGAGCUUGCUCUGCUGGAUCAGUGGCGAACGGGUGAGUAACACGUGAGCAAUCUGCCCCUGACUCUGGGAUAAGCGCUGGAAACGGCGUCUAAUACUGGAUACGAGCUGCGAAGGCAUCUUCAGCAGCUGGAAAGAAUUUCGGUCAGGGAUGAGCUCGCGGCCUAUCAGCUUGUUGGUGAGGUAAUGGCUCACCAAGGCUUCGACGGGUAGCCGGCCUGAGAGGGUGACCGGCCACACUGGGACCGAGACACGGCCCAGACUCCUACGGGAGGCAGCAGUGGGGAAUAUUGCACAAUGGGCGAAAGCCUGAUGCAGCAACGCCGCGUGAGGGACGACGGCCUUCGGGUUGUAAACCUCUUUUAGCAGGGAAGAAGCGAAAGUGACGGUACCUGCAGAAAAGGCGCCGGCUAACUACGUG